This 427-nucleotide ribosomal RNA is filed under the name uncultured Achromobacter sp. Its description in RNAcentral is "bacterial SSU rRNA". It matches the Rfam family "Bacterial small subunit ribosomal RNA", at positions 355 to 774 of the family's 1533-position model. The record is from RNAcentral. Lineage: Bacteria; Pseudomonadati; Pseudomonadota; Betaproteobacteria; Burkholderiales; Alcaligenaceae.
UGGGGAAUUUUGGACAAUGGGGGAAACCCUGAUCCAGCCAUCCCGCGUGUGCGAUGAAGGCCUUCGGGUUGUAAAGCACUAUUGGCAGGAAAGAAACGUCAUGGGCUAAUACCCCGUGAAACUGACGGUACCUGCAGAAUAAGCACCGGCUAACUACGUGCCAGCAGCCGCGGUAAUACGUAGGGUGCAAGCGUUAAUCGGAAUUACUGGGCGUAAAGCGUGCGCAGGCGGUUCGGAAAGAAAGAUGUGAAAUCCCAGAGCUUAACUUUGGAACUGCAUUUUUAACUACCGAGCUAGAGUGUGUCAGAGGGAGGUGGAAUUCCGCGUGUAGCAGUGAAAUGCGUAGAUAUGCGGAGGAACACCGAUGGCGAAGGCAGCCUCCUGGGAUAACACUGACGCUCAUGCACGAAAGCGUGGGGAGCAAACA